Molecule: ribosomal RNA, 1301 nt
Filed under: human gut metagenome
Description: bacterial LSU rRNA
Rfam family: Bacterial large subunit ribosomal RNA
Source: RNAcentral
GUUAAAUACUAAGUAAGGUAUGGAGCCGAAGCGAAAGCGAGUGUUAAUAGCGCGUUUAAGUCAUAUGUAAUAGACCCGAAACCGAGUGACCUAUCCAUGGUCAGGAUGAAGCUAGAGUAAAAUCUAGUGGAGGUCCGAACUGAUUGUCGUUAAAAAGGCACCGGAUGAACUGUGGAUAGCGGAGAAAUUCCAAUCGAACUCGGAGAUAGCUGGUUCUCCUCGAAAUAGCUUUAGGGCUAGCCUUGAGGUAAAGACGUAUGGGGGUAGAGCACUGAAUGAGCUAGGGGCCUAACCAGGUUACUGAACUCUAUCAAACUACGAAUACCAUAUUGUUAUACUCAGGAGUCAGACUGCGGGAGCUAAGUUCCGUGGUCAAAAGGGAAAGAGCCCAGAUCGUCAAUUAAGGUCCCAAAGAUAUAGCUAAGUGGAAAACGAUGUGAUUUUGCGUAAACAACCAGGAUGUUGGCUCAGAAGCAGCCACUCAUUCAAAGAGUGCGUAACAGCUCACUGGUCGAGUGAAAUUGCGCGGAAAAUUACCGGGGCUAAGCUAUACACCGAAAUUGCGGAUUCAAGGAUUUAUCCUUGAGUGGUAGAGGAGCAUUCUGUUGUAGGUUGAAGUAUGACCGUAAGGACAUGUGGACGAAGCAGAAGAGAGAAUGCUGGAAUAAGUAGCGAGAGCAAGGUGAGAAUCCUUGCCGUCGAAAGUCUAAGGUUUCCUGGGGAAGGUUCGUCCGCCCAGGGUUAGUCGGGACCUAAGGAGAGGCCGAGAGGCGUAUCUGAUGGACAGCAGGUUGAUAUUCCUGCACUAUAGAUAUACUUAAAAGAUGCAAGGGACGCAGAAGUGGAAGGAAUGCGAGGAAGAGGAAAAACUCGUAUCGAAAGAUAUAGUGAAAAUAAAGUAACGAAUUCCCAAGAAGCACGCUGACGAGAAAAGCUUGUAGAUAUUGUAUAUAAAUACCCGUACCGCAAACCGACACAGGUAGAUGAGGAGAGGAUCCUAAGACGAGCGGGAGAAGCAUUGUUAAGGAACUCGGCAAAUUGACCCCGUAACUUCGGAAUAAGGGGUGCCUAUGUAAAAGUAGGCCGCAGAGAAUAGGCCCAAGCAACUGUUUAACAAAAACACAGGUUUCUGCUAAAUCGAAAGAUGAAGUAUAGGAGCUGACGCCUGCCCAGUGCUGGAAGGUUAAGGGGAAGAGUUAAGACUUGAUCUGAAGCUUAGAACCAAAGCCCCAGUGAACGGCGGCCGUAACUAUAACGGUCCUAAGGUAGCGAAAUUCCUUGUCAGGUAAGUUCUGACCCGC